Talpa occidentalis (Iberian mole) is the source of this 3320-nucleotide long non-coding RNA. RefSeq lists it as uncharacterized. Lineage: Eukaryota; Metazoa; Chordata; Mammalia; Eulipotyphla; Talpidae. The record is from RefSeq and is a predicted model, not a curated record. The transcript has 8 exons.
UCAAGUGCAGAGAUGCAUCAUGGGAACAGUGAUGUAGCUUGGGCUUACCCUGUAGGAAGAAGUCAGGAGAUUAUUGCCGUAACAAACACCCCCAAAUCUCAGUGCUGUAAAACCAUGAAGGUUUAUUUCUCACUUGGCCACUUGUCCUUUAUGAGUCAACUGAGGCUUUGUUCUUCAUUGUCCUCAGCUGGUAGAACCUCUAUUAUCUAGUAUGUUGCUUAUUGCCAUGGCAGCAAAAAAGGAUCUGCUUGGUGAAUCACCUGCAGGCUCUUAAAGUGGAAGUCAUGCACUUCACUUCUGUUCACAUUUCAUUGGCCACAAGAAGUCACUAAAAAUAAUAUGGUUAGGCUGCUAUAACAAAACAUCACAGUUCUGGAGGCACCAAGCUGAAGGCACCAGCACAUUUGGUGUCCAGUGAAGACCCAUGUUUGGAGGUGGAACUGCGGGAGCUGCAUCAACUACUCCCUUGACCUCUGGCCUUGGAUUGGCUGGUCCCAUGUGGAGCAUGAGCAGGAGAUCAGAGGGAGGACUGUGUCAAAUUUGCAGUUCUGGAGUCCAGUAGCCAAAGAUCAAGAUGUUGGAGAUGCUGGUUCUUUCUGAGGACUGUGGAGUAUCUGUCUUGCCUCUCACCUAGCUCUGGUUCCUCUCCACACUCUGUCUCAGUCUUCAAGUUCACAGGGCAUCGUCCCUGUGUGCCUUUCUAUCUCCAAAUACCCCUUUUAUAAGGACAUUAGUCAGGUUUAGGAGUCUGCCUGACUCUUGUGAGACCUCAUUGUAACAAAUAAUAUCUGUAACGACCCUAUUUCCAAAUGCAGUCAUAUUCUCAGGUAUUGGGGAUUAGGACUUCACUAUACGAAUUUUGAAGGACACAAUUUAACCCAUAACAGCAGUUAAAUAUAUUCAAGUAUUCCCCAUUAUACAAAAAACAUCUUUUAACUUCUGUCUUUUGGCUACCCCUCUCCUCUCCACUCUCUGUGAAUGGUUUGUGCUCAUCAUCUUUGUGUUUCUCCUCUCCCCCCCUCUCACUUUUACCUUACCAUUGCCACCGCAGCGGCAGCAACUAUCUUUGGCCAAGGUCAAAUAUUUUUUAAAAUUCUUUUCUUUUUUUUUUUUUAAAGAUUUAUUUAUUUUUUAUAAGAACCGGGGUACAGGCUAGAUGUACAGGAGGGUGAGAGGAUUCACCGGAGACAGAGCAGGAAACAGAACAGGCAGACUGACGAAACACACUGCUGAGGGGAGCAGCGGGUGAGACAGGAGAGGUCUGCUUCGCAUGUGGGAUUCUCACUGGCUGGCCUGGAUCGAACCCAUGCUGCAGAGGCCGCACACAGCUUCACAGCACAGCGCUCAACCGCCUGCGCCACCGGGGAAGACUCAAGGUCAACCAACAUGACAAACCAAAUUGAUUUUUGAACAACAGAAUUAGAAUUUAAGGACACUUAAAGAGUCCGGUGUUGAAUGGCAACUGGCUAGAAAAGCUUCAGCAGCCAGGGAAUGAACUGGCACUGCAGAGGCUGCGGGCAGCCUCGUAGCCCAGCGCUCAACCGCUGCGCCACCAGGGGAGGCCCGAUGGGUACAAGAAUGGUCUCAUUAGGCAAAUACCAAAUGUUUUCAUCAUAGGAGAGGACACAUUUCCAACCCCAACAAUAUAGAAUGCUAUCAGCCAGGGAUGUACUUUGUUUAAUCUAACAAUGGGUUAAUGUUGGUCAUUUCAUUACUGCUUGUUAGGCAGUGAAAGCUUACUCAGAAAUGAAAUGUUCAGAAAUUAGUUGAAAGGAGCAAAAAAGGUGAGAGAUUUUACGAAGUUGUAUGCUUGAUUGGGCUAAUUAAAGGUACAGAUGCAUUAGUAGGUUAUGGGAACAGCUUUGAUUUCUAAAGAUGCUUGUCAGGAGGAGGAUGGCGUGUUCUAAUCAUCUCUGGCACUGUGAGUCCCCCCCACGGGAAGGAGCACAGCUUUUCUCUCCUGACAGACUCCCUCGGCCUCCCCCUCCAGCACCUAUUGCCACCUGGCACCUGGUGGUUGAAUUAAAUGCAUCACUUGGGAAAGUUUCUUGAUUAAAUAGGAUAUUCUUGAACAAAGCACUGUUGAUUUGUGAUUUUCAUGUUUUAUUGGCUUUUCAUGUUUUAAAUGUAAAGCUCAUUAACUACACACAGAGAAGGAAACAGGUAUGAAGGAUGGAAAAUAAAACUCCACUGAUGUGAUACAGAAAGGCACAGCCUGUGCCAUUCUGGUUUGGAUUAACUGGGCUUGGCACUGUUAUGGCUCCUGUCACCAGAUCAGUUUACUGGGCUGAAGAAAUUGAGGAAAUGGAAAAUGCUGGUGCCUCACAAAUACCCCAACCUCACCCCCCGGCCAAAAUGCCUUGCAAGGAAAUUCUAGGCUUAUGUUUUCUGAUUUACCACUAAGAUGGAGAGGCCUUGGAAAACCAUUUAUUUCAAUCUUCCACUCAUUCAACAAACAUUUGCUGAGAGCAGCUUUGUGCCAGGCUGGGAUACAGAAAUGAGUGGGACAGGGUUCCUGACCAAGGAAGCACAGAGAUACUGGGGAGACCUUAAAAAUAUAUAAUAUACAUGGUGGUAAGUGGGCUAGUAAGGGGUCAGUAAAAGCUUGGGCAUUUGGAAAAUACUUUAAGUUGAAUUUUUUUUUUUUAAAGUCUAAAACAAACACAUGGUACUUACCACGUUUCAGGCACUGUUCCAAGGACUUUAUGAAUACUAAUUUGUUAAUUCUCAUAACAAUUUUUGGAGCCUGAUACUAUUAUUCUCUUCAUCCUGUAGCUGAGGAAAUGAAGAAACAGAGAGGUUCAGUAACUUGUGUGAUGUCACAUAGCUCCUGGGUGCAGAAUCAGGAUUUGAACGGAUACUACCUGACUCCAGAGGCCAUGCCCUCUGCCAUUACACGCUGACUUCCUUUUAUAGGCUACGAGCAGCCUCACAACCCAGCGCUCAACCGCUGCGCCACCAGGGGAGGCCAGUGUCUGAGUUUCUUACUCAAGUUGUGGAAAAACGCAGUUAUGAUUCAAAAAGAAAGGCAGUCGUUCAAUGCAGGUGUCAGUUGGGACAGAAAGAAUAACCCAGAAUACUGGAACAAACUGAGUCCAAGGAUCAUUGCAAGAUCUGUUCAGUCAAAGAUGACAGCAAACAGAUGACAGAAGAAAGAGAGGCCAGACUUCUAAACGAAAUAUUUCAUUAUAAAUCUGCUCAAAAUGAAGGUCUUCCAGAAACUAUCGGCAUGAUUUCCACCUAACCAGUAAAUAUUUCCCUUGCAAAUGCACAAAUUACAUUGGUAAAUUUAGGGUUUACACUGAUUAAUAAAUAUCUGA